This 470-nucleotide long non-coding RNA is filed under the name Salvia miltiorrhiza (redroot sage). Its description in RNAcentral is "long non-coding RNA (SMIL_LNC006699)". The record is from RNAcentral. Lineage: Eukaryota; Viridiplantae; Streptophyta; Magnoliopsida; Lamiales; Lamiaceae.
AAUUGGAAAACUUGACGGAGAGAAAAGCUCCAACGCGUUUGAUCAACUGCAGAAGAUCGUCCUUGGGAUUAUUAGCCAUCGCGAUUUCACGGAGAUUUCAGCUCUGCCUAUACCAAUUGAUCAAAAACGGAUUGAAACCCUCGUUGCUCGCGCUAAAAUUGAAGUUGCAUUUGUAGCAGAAUGAUUUAUUGCAGAGUGGCGAAGGAUAGCAGAUCGAAAGAGAGAAGAGAGACUGCAGAGGGGUCAAUUUGUUAUUUUUGUUAGUUUGGAUAUCUGAAAGAAAAAAAAAGGAAAAGAAAAGGAUUUCUUUCACUAAUAAAUAAAAUAAAAUGAUUUAUAUUUGCCUUUUAAUUAGAAAAAGUUUUGUGAGAUGUUGACCUCAUCGUCGCUACCCUCGCCAAAACUUUCUUUUUCUGUCCCAUUUUAAAUAUCUUAUUUUUUGUUCCCUAAUUUUUUUUGGAAUAUUUUAC